UCUGCCCCUAGAUCCCUUUCUUAGCGAUAUUUUCCAACUCUGCCGCUCCUGGUCUACCGCACCAUCGUCCCCGCUAGCCUCCCCAUCUAGGCCAUCGUCCCUGAUCCUCUCCGGCCGCCAUGAAAUUGAGGUAGUUGUCAUCGACCUUGUUGGGAACAUCGUGUCCCCACUCGAUGUACAGGCGGAGUCCGGCAUGAGAGAGAUAGCGGCAUCCUUGCCAAGUCCGGCGAAGUUCACGAUCUCCAUGUCCUGGCCGAGUCGGACACCGCCUCCUUCCAUCUUGAUCGUGGCCGAAGACAGCAGUGUCGUCCCCCUGCCUGGCAUGCCUAUGGUUCGUGAAUCUAAGGCGUGUGCGCCCCGCUCAGCCUCGUGCAUGUGACCGCCAUUGUUGAUGGGUCCAGCGUCAUGCGUGAGCAAGGUUAUAUUGCAGGGCGAGGACGGUGUCCGGGAGGACGGUGGGAAGUUCAUGGCUUGCGUUGGGGGAGAUCGUCGUGUUGUUCUGUAUGUGCCAGGCUAUGGCAUGGAGUGAAGUGGAACAAUUCGUCACAAUGUGUUUCAACUUUGAAGUGGCUAGGAUACCCGGAAGACCCCACAUGGACGGUGGAUGAGCUCCGCCACCUCACUGCCGUCAGAGCCCCUUCUUCCACCAAUCGCACAGCCACACCGUCGGUCUCCUUUGCCCUGUGGUUGAUUUGGUCAGUACGAGGUUGCACAGGAAGGCAUUUGCCACAGUGUCUCUCGCGGAGAUCUCAGGUUCAAGCCCAUCCGAACUGCAAAAUUUUCUGAAGGUCGAUGGAAAUGAUUUUACUCGUGACGACGCUUUUCCUCCCGUCUGAUUUACCAUCAGUACCGGAUGUCGUCCCUACUACACAACAAACUGGGCAAGGCAUGUUUGGUAAUUGUCGUGCUUUAUUUUGAUGCUCAUGUUAUGAUUACUUGAGGACACAAAUGCAUACCGCAGAGCAGUCUCAUGUGUUCGACCUCCGAGUACUAUGGAUUAUCAGGUUCUUUUAGUUUGUUUCCACAUCAGUUGUGUGCAAGGAGUCUUCUUUUUUCUCUUGUACAUGAAUCUAUUUGCUUUUCUCCAAUGGUACAAUUUCUCAAGUUCAACAAGAGUGUGGUUAGUGCCUUUUAUCCAUUCUAUCAAAAAAUGGAUCGGGCUCUACUAUCGAAAGCGAUAACAGAACAAAACAAGAAAAAUCAACGAGGAGAGAGGGAGAAGUUGGCCAGCAUGGGGUCAUGAGUGGUACAAACAGGAAGAUGCAUGCCCAUAGUUCGUCAGUUUACCUUGGAUUUUUCAGUUUUUUCUCAUCUCAUAAUUACUAUCUUUUAUUUAUGUGUUACUGCAGUUAAGCUUCUUUAUGUUUUCUUCCUUCCCACUUUAGGCCUCUUGUGCACCUUUAUUUUGUUUUGGUGUUUAUUAGGUGCCAAUGUCUUAGGACAAUACUUUGAUACAUGGAUUUAUUCCGGCAUUCUAAUUUUGAAACCUUUGUGCCACUGUGUUCAUUGCUUCACCUUAAUGGAUGUAAUAUAAACUCUUACUGAAAAACUGGUGUGAUGAUGGAGGAAUGGACGUCAAUUUAAAGCUGCGUAUUAUUCAGCUUGAUUCAUUGGUCAGGAUUUUUGAAUAUAUGGCUUGUAAUUCCAGUGACCAAGAACUUAAUUCAUAUUCUAAAAAUUGAAGGGGAGGUAGGGGAAUAUUGCCAAUCAUGUCCAGAAAUAAUGCUCAUUUUUUUAUUCCAGUCGAUGUAUUUCUUGUGUGUCUCAUUGAUUGAGUAUUUGCGUUGGAACUAAGUAUAUUAGUGUCUUGGAAUUUGCUCUAUGCUUUAUUCACUUGUCAUUGCUAUGUACAAGGCAUACAUUUAUAUUUGGCUUACAGAUUCUUUGUACAUAUCGUCGCACUUCGUGUUUUAUACUGACUGUGGUACCUCUUGAAAUGGGCGCUGAGAUGGCCAUCGACAUUUGCACAUCGCCAUACCUGAGGCAUGAGGACGUCGCCGCCCGGUUCAUCAUUGCUGAUGGGAUCGGCACAAGGCGAGUCAAAUCAAUCUUGUGAAGAAUCUAUUGUUUGCUCCAGUGGCAGGGAUGUUGGUGGCACGAAGUUGUUUAGUAACAGGACGUUCUAAACUAGAGAUUUGAGUUGAAGCACACGAGGAGUUCCUAUCAUCGAUGCUAGCCGUAAAGUUGAAUGCAUAUGUUGGUUUCACAAUUACAUGAUGAUGAGGAUGGAGCUGUCCUUCCAACAAUUGUCUCGAUAACUGAUAGGUAGUAACACUUCAAGCACGAAAUCAGCAUUGCAACGCGCCUGAAUUAUGUAUGGCAUCCGCCCAUGUCCAUAAUUGGAACCUUUGAUAAUUAGAAGAUGCCUGGUACAAUAUUUGUCCAUGUGUUGUACUUAAUUUGUACUACAACGCAAGUCACCAUAAGUUAAUGUGUGCAGUACAAUAAAAUGGAAGAACGGUUAU
Triticum aestivum (bread wheat) is the source of this 2465-nucleotide long non-coding RNA. RefSeq lists it as uncharacterized. NCBI's taxonomy places the organism in Eukaryota, Viridiplantae, Streptophyta, Magnoliopsida, Poales, Poaceae. The record is from RefSeq and is a predicted model, not a curated record. The transcript has 6 exons.